Molecule: ribosomal RNA, 867 nt
Filed under: uncultured bacterium
Lineage: Bacteria
Description: bacterial SSU rRNA
Rfam family: Bacterial small subunit ribosomal RNA
Source: RNAcentral
GAUGAACGCUGGCGGCGUGCCUAAUACAUGCAAGUCGAACGCGAGCACUUGUGCUCGAGUGGCGAACGGGUGAGUAAUACAUAAGUAACCUGCCCUAGACAGGGGGAUAACUGCUGGAAACGGUAGCUAAGACCGCAUAGGUAUGGACACUGCAUGGUGACCAUAUUAAAAGUGCCAAGGCACUGGUAGAGGAUGGACUUAUGGCGCAUUAGCUAGUUGGUGAGGUAACGGCUCACCAAGGCGACGAUGCGUAGCCGACCUGAGAGGGUGACCGGCCACACUGGGACUGAGACACGGCCCAGACUCCUACGGGAGGCAGCAGUAGGGAAUUUUCGGCAAUGGGGGAAACCCUGACCGAGCAACGCCGCGUGAAGGAAGAAGGAAUUCGUUCUGUAAACUUCUGUUAUAAAGGAAGAACGGCGGAUAUAGGGAAUGAUAUCCGAGUGACGGUACUUUAUGAGAAAGCCACGGCUAACUACGUGCCAGCAGCCGCGGUAAUACGUAGGUGGCGAGCGUUAUCCGGAAUUAUUGGGCGUAAAGAGGGAGCAGGCGGCAGCAGAGGUCUGUGGUGAAAGACUGAAGCUUAACUUCAGUAAGCCAUAGAAACCGGGCAGCUAGAGUGCAGGAGAGGAUCGUGGAAUUCCAUGUGUGGCGGUGAAAUGCGUAGAUAUAUGGAGGAACACCAGUGGCGAAGGCGACGAUCUGGCCUGUAACUGACGCUCAUUCCCGAAAGCGUGGGGAGCAAAUAGGAUUAGAUACCCUAGUAGUCCACGCCGUAAACGAUGAGUACUAAGUGUUGGGAGUCAAAUCUCAGUGCUGCAGUUAACGCAAUAAGUACUCCGCCUGAGUAGUACGUUCGCAAGAAUG